Molecule: ribosomal RNA, 161 nt
Filed under: Salmonella enterica subsp. enterica serovar Heidelberg str. 90-0318
Lineage: Bacteria; Pseudomonadati; Pseudomonadota; Gammaproteobacteria; Enterobacterales; Enterobacteriaceae
Description: partial 16S ribosomal RNA
Rfam family: Bacterial small subunit ribosomal RNA
Source: RNAcentral
UAACCACAGCAAUUGACGUUACCCGCAGAAGAAGCACCGGCUAACUCCGUGCCAGCAGCCGCGGUAAUACGGAGGGUGCAAGCGUUAAUCGGAAUUACUGGGCGUAAAGCGCACGCAGGCGGUCUGUCAAGUCGGAUGUGAAAUCCCCGGGCUCAACCUCG